GUCGUGAGAUGUUGGGUUAAGUCCCGCAACGAGCGCAACCCCCGCUCCCAGUUGCCAGCGCGUUAUGGCGGGGACUCUGGGAGGACUGCCGGUGCCAAACCGGAGGAAGGUGGGGACGACGUCAAGUCAUCAUGGUCCUUACGUCUAGGGCUACACACGUGCUACAAUGGCCGGUACAGCGGGUCGCGAGCUCGCGAGAGUAAGCCAAUCCCAUAAAGCCGGCCUCAGUGCGGAUUGGAGGCUGCAACUCGCCUCCAUGAAGCCGGAAUCGCUAGUAAUCGUGGAUCAGCUACGCCACGGUGAAUACGUUCCCGGGCCUUGUACACACCGCCCGUCACGCCAUGGAAGCUGUGAGCGCCCGAAGUCCGUGCAGGAACCCGCAAGGGGCCAAGCGGCCGAAGGCGAGCGCAGUGACUGGGGCGAAGUCGUAACAAGGUAGCCGUAGGGGAACCUGCGGCUGGAUCACCUCCUUAACGGAUACACGAGUAGACGUCACGGAAGCGCAAGCGGCCGUUGGGGUUGAAAGUAUUCCUGUAGUCGCUUCGCCUCGAACAUCCCGUCCUGAAUUUGAUUGUUGACACCGUUCUCCUUCGGGGGGAGUGUGUGUCAAUGCUUUUUGACAACGGAAGUAAUGGAAGGUAGAUCGUGGGAUUUAAUGGAAUCGAUCAUCGAGUUCUGUUAUGGAACUCGAGUACUAGCUGAAAGCGGGGACUGAGACGCGAGUCGAGGUUCUCGUUGUAGGAGUAGUACAGAUUAAGAUGUUUGCGUGCUCGGUUGAGAUAUGGGGUUUGGAGGGAGCGAUCCUGAAGAGCUUUGUAGUCAAGCGAGUGAUGGCAUGUGGGGGAUGCCUGGGUACACAGAGGCGAUGAAGGCCGUGGUAAGCUGCGAGAAGCCAAGGGGAGCGGCACACACGCAUUGAUCCUUGGAUGG
RNAcentral lists this small RNA (930 nucleotides) under uncultured Gemmatimonas sp. Its description in RNAcentral is "bacterial SSU rRNA". The stretch from base 1 to 473 matches the Rfam family "Bacterial small subunit ribosomal RNA", at positions 1064 to 1533 of the family's 1533-position model. Lineage: Bacteria; Pseudomonadati; Gemmatimonadota; Gemmatimonadia; Gemmatimonadales; Gemmatimonadaceae. The record is from RNAcentral.